Cucurbita pepo subsp. pepo (vegetable marrow) is the source of this 479-nucleotide RNA transcript. It is a transcript of the gene named putative pentatricopeptide repeat-containing protein At1g53330, with no coding region annotated. Lineage: Eukaryota; Viridiplantae; Streptophyta; Magnoliopsida; Cucurbitales; Cucurbitaceae. The record is from RefSeq and is a predicted model, not a curated record.
AAGGGAAGGAGCCAUGAAGGGUCCUAUUCUAUUCAGCUCAGAACCAAUUUGUCCACAUACUUGCUCAGCUUGUGUUCUAUCUAGUUCCAGUAUAUCUGGAACAAUUACUCAAGAAGGGGAUCUAUCAUAUUCAACGACACCAAAAGUGCAGCACUGCAGAGAGUUUCAUACACAAUUCAGUUCUAGAAAUUAGUAGACACACAAGCAGAAUGAGCUAGUAACAGCAACAUACCUAUUGAUGCAGUAACGCUUCACAGUUGGCGGCGGUCCAUCAUCAAAGACGUGGCCCAGAUGAGCAUCACAAGCAGCACAAAGAACUUCCUCUCGAGGCAUGAAAAUAAUGGACAGGUCUAGCUUGGUUUUGACAUUAUCACCAAUGGGCUGGUAAUACGAUGGCCAACCAGUUCCACUGUCAAAUUUAGUUGAUGAUCUGAAGAGAGAAUAUUACAUAUUAUUGGGAGUUCUAUGAAAAUUCAUUU